GCCUGUGAGCCCCUCUUGCCUCGCCUCCUCGCCCACCAUGCUGUCGUGUUCGUGGCCGUGGUGUCGGCUGCUGCAGGGGGUGACGGCCUGCCGGCAGGGGGCGCAGUGUGGGAUCCAACGGGAAGGGCC
This is a non-coding RNA of Canis lupus familiaris (dog), 129 nucleotides long. Lineage: Eukaryota; Metazoa; Chordata; Mammalia; Carnivora; Canidae. The record is from RefSeq and is marked provisional.